Molecule: long non-coding RNA, 606 nt
Filed under: Vigna radiata
Lineage: Eukaryota; Viridiplantae; Streptophyta; Magnoliopsida; Fabales; Fabaceae
Description: long non-coding RNA (VRAD_LNC017857)
Source: RNAcentral
CAAAUGACGACUAGUGACAAAAUAUAGGUGCAAGAAAUGUUUCAAUUUAAUUGCUUUUCAAGCUAGCUAUGUUUCGUGGUGAGAGAGGACUAAGUUCGUGAUUGGUGCCAAUAUUUGAAAAUUUUUGAUAGUCUUGGUUUUUUAGACUUAGGGGCUGCAAUGCACUCUUUAAAUCCCCAAAUGACGACUAGUGUCAAAAUAUAUGUACAAGAAAUGUUUCAAUUUAGUGUCUUUUCAAGUUAGCUAUGUUUGGUGGUGAGAUAGGACUAAGUUUGUGCUUGGUGCCAAGAUUUGGAAAUUUUUUAUAGUCCUGGUUUUUUAGACUUAGGGGCUGUAUUGCACUUUUUAAAUCCCCAAAUGACGACUAGUGUCAAAAUAUAUGUGCAAGAAAUGUUUCAAUUUAGUUACUUUUCAAGCAAGCUAUGUUUAGUGGUGAGACUGGACUAAGUUGGUACUUGGUGCCAAGAUUUGGAAACUUUUGAAACUCUUCAUUUUUUAGACUUAGGGGUAGCAAUGCACUCUUUAAAUCCCCAAAUGAUAAUUAGUGUCAAAAUAUAGGUGCAAGAAAUGUGUCCAUUUAGUUGCUUUUGAAGCAAGCUAUGUUUG